RNAcentral lists this ribosomal RNA (116 nucleotides) under Pteropus alecto (black flying fox). The record is from RNAcentral. Lineage: Eukaryota; Metazoa; Chordata; Mammalia; Chiroptera; Pteropodidae.
GUCCACAGCCAUGCCACCCUGAACAAGCCUGAUGUCUGAUCUUGGAAGCUAAGCAGGGUUGGGCCCGGUUAGUACCUGGAUGGGAGACCACCUAGGAAGACCAGGUGCAGUAGGCA